CCUACACAUAUCUACCCCCACUCCAAAAUCACCACCACCACUACUAUACGGCUCCAUCGUACCUACCCAACGCUAGCUCCAAAUUCUGGUGCCUCAAUCUCCAUCACACCACAACAUCUCCACCACAAAUUCACAACCAACAUAACCCAAUUGUCGACAAGACAACGUUCCUCUUUUGACACAAAAAUGCAAUUUGGGUAUAAAAAUAUACAAGGUAAACAAGCUGUGUAGUAAACAUUUAUGCCACCGCCAUCGCCAUCAUCUGACUGCCACCUCCUCCAUCAAUUUUCCUCACCACUGUCAUUCACUAGAACCACCACUUAUACCACAACAAUAACAAAACCUCAAAAUCAAAUCCGAUUUCAAAAUCAAUUUCGGUUUUCAAAUAUGAAGAAAAGAAAUCCAUCACACUCUCAUUCAUCCUUUAUUGGGUGGCAGUGGCAAUGAUGUUUAGGAGCCUGGAUGACAGUGGCGAUCGAUUGCGUGGGUGGUAGUGGCGACGACUUUAGCGCAAGAGGGAUUGUAUGGGAUAGGGAAGAAAAGGCUAGGUUUAGGUGGUGGCUGUUUUUUUAUCUUUAGUGGCGGUCGAUUGCAUAGGUAGUAGUGGUGUUCAGCGGCUUGGAUGGUGGUGUUGGCCAAUCGCCUAGGCCGCGGCGGCGAAGACUUUAGGGCAAGGGAAAAUGUAUGGAAAUAGAGAAGAAAGGUCUAGGUUUGGGGUUUUUUUUUUUAAUAUCUUUUUUAUUGCUUAUAAUUAUUU
This 757-nucleotide long non-coding RNA is filed under the name Olea europaea (common olive). RNAcentral describes it as "long non-coding RNA (OEUR_LNC007753)". The record is from RNAcentral. Lineage: Eukaryota; Viridiplantae; Streptophyta; Magnoliopsida; Lamiales; Oleaceae.